CGAGCACGCGCGUGUGGCAUAUCAAUAAGCGGAGGAAAAGAAACUAACAAGGAUUCCCUUAGUAACGGCGAGUGAAGCGGGAAGAGCUCAAAUUUGAAAUCUUCAGGGUUCUACCUUGACGAAUUGUAGUUUAUAGAAGUGUUUUCUGUUAGUGGAGUGGCAAAAGUUCUUUGGAAUAGGACAUCAUAGAGGGUGAGAAUCCCGUAUUUGGUCAUUCCUCCUAGCGUUGUGAUACACUUUCAACGAGUCGGAUUGUUUGGGAAUGCAGUCCAAAAUGGGUGGUAAAUUUCAUCUAAAGCUAAAUAUUGGCGAGAGACCGAUAGCGAACAAGUACCGUGAGGGAAAGAUGAAAAGAACUUUGAAAAGAGAGUUAAACAGUACGUGAAAUUGUCAAAAGGGAAGCGUUUGACACCAGUGUUGUUUUUCCGAAAAUCAAUUACGAAUGUUUUGUUUUUAAGAAGUUAUGACUUCAUCGGCUUGCUUCUUUCUUUACGAAACUUUCUUAAUGCACUUUUCGGUUAACAAGUCAACAUCAAUUUCUUUUGUUGUAAAAGGGUAUGAGGAAGGUGGCUUUCUUUUCGGAGAAAGUGUUUAUAGCCUUGUGCCUCUGCAAUCGGAGAGAUUGAGGUCUGCAGCGUAGAUCCUUCGGGGUUAGAUACAUUUGUGCUAAGUUAUAGCUUUUCAUAGACAACUUGUUGACUAUGUUUAGUCUUGUAGCUUACUCGCUUAUGCUAUUUACCUACGCUUAGGAUGUUGAGCGCAUGUCUCUCUCU
Molecule: ribosomal RNA, 773 nt
Filed under: uncultured Neocallimastigales
Lineage: Eukaryota; Fungi; Neocallimastigomycota; Neocallimastigomycetes; Neocallimastigales
Description: partial large subunit ribosomal RNA
Rfam family: Eukaryotic large subunit ribosomal RNA
Source: RNAcentral